This 33-nucleotide ribosomal RNA is filed under the name Melaleuca velutina. RNAcentral describes it as "Regelia velutina partial 5.8S ribosomal RNA". The record is from RNAcentral. Lineage: Eukaryota; Viridiplantae; Streptophyta; Magnoliopsida; Myrtales; Myrtaceae.
GUAACGACUCUCGGCAACGGAUAUCUCGGCUCU